GCCGACGUGGUGGAAUUGGUAGACACGCUACCUUGAGGUGGUAGUGGCGAAAGCCGUGACAGUUCGAGUCUGUCCGUUGGCACCA
RNAcentral lists this transfer RNA (85 nucleotides) under Lysobacterales bacterium. Its description in RNAcentral is "tRNA-Leu". It matches the Rfam family "tRNA". Rfam says of the family: Transfer RNA (tRNA) molecules are approximately 80 nucleotides in length. Their secondary structure includes four short double-helical elements and three loops (D, anti-codon, and T loops). The record is from RNAcentral. Lineage: Bacteria; Pseudomonadati; Pseudomonadota; Gammaproteobacteria; Lysobacterales.